RNAcentral lists this ribosomal RNA (511 nucleotides) under uncultured Planctomycetota bacterium. RNAcentral describes it as "bacterial SSU rRNA". It matches the Rfam family "Bacterial small subunit ribosomal RNA", at positions 45 to 529 of the family's 1533-position model. The record is from RNAcentral. Lineage: Bacteria; Pseudomonadati; Planctomycetota.
UGGAUUAGGCAUGCAAGUCGAGCGCUGAUUAUGAGGUAGCAAUAUUUCGUAGUCGGAGCGGCGCAAGGGUGCGUAACACGUGGGCAAUCUGCCAUGAAGUUUGGGAUAACUUGCUGAAAGGCGAGCUAAUACCGGACGUGACUGCUGGGAGGCAUCUCCCGAUAGUUAAAGUUGGGGACCGCAAGGCCUGACGCUUCAUGAUGAGCCCGCGGCCUAUCAGCUAGUUGGUGAGGUAACGGCCCACCAAGGCUAAGACGGGUAGCUGGUCUGAGAGGACGACCAGCCACACUGGAACUGAGACACGGUCCAGACACCUACGGGUGGCAGCAGUCGAGAAUUUUUCACAAUGGGCGCAAGCCUGAUGGAGCGACGCCGCGUGGGGGAUGAAUGGCUUCGGCCCGUAAACCCCUGUCAUUCGCGAUCAACCCUUAUUAUUUAAAAGAUGAUGAGCUGAUAGUAGCGGAAGAGGAAGGGACGGCUAACUCUGUGCCAGCAGCCGCGGUAAUACAGA